Molecule: transfer RNA, 100 nt
Filed under: Imshaugia aleurites
Lineage: Eukaryota; Fungi; Ascomycota; Lecanoromycetes; Lecanorales; Parmeliaceae
Rfam family: tRNA
About the family: Transfer RNA (tRNA) molecules are approximately 80 nucleotides in length.
Source: Rfam by way of RNAcentral
GACACUUUGGCCGAGUGGUUAAGGCGACAGACUCGAAUUUCACCCCACAAUUCGUCAUCUGUUUCAUUCGUGAGCGCAGGUUCAAAUCCUGCAGGUGUCG